RNAcentral lists this ribosomal RNA (465 nucleotides) under uncultured bacterium. RNAcentral describes it as "partial 16S ribosomal RNA". It matches the Rfam family "Bacterial small subunit ribosomal RNA", at positions 28 to 506 of the family's 1533-position model. The record is from RNAcentral.
GACGAACGCUGGCGGCGUGCUUAACACAUGCAAGUCGAACGGUAAGGCCCCAGCUUGCUGGGGUCCACGAGUGGCGAACGGGUGAGUAACACGUGGGUGACCUGCCCUGCACUUCGGGAUAAGCCUGGGAAACUGGGUCUAAUACCGGCUAGGACUAUGGUGUGGAUACUGUGGUGGAAAGUUUUUUUGGUGUGGGAUGGGUACGCGGCCUAUCAGCUUGUUGGUGGGGUAAUGGCCUACCAAGGCGGCGGCGGGUAGCCGGCCUGGGAGGGUGGACGGCCAGAUAGGGUCGGAGUCAGGGCCCGGACUGCUUCGUGAGGCAGGAGGGGGUAAUAUUGCACAAAGGGCGGAAGACUGCCGGAUCGACGACGGGUGGGUGAUGGAGGCAGUCGGGUGGUAAGCUCCUUUCUCCUUCGACGAAGGGUUACGGACGGUAGAUGGAGAAGAAGCACGGGCUAACUACGG